GGCAUAUAAGAGGAAAGAGAAAUGCUAACUAAGCACCACGUUGGAUUUGUCUAUGUUAGCGUUUAACCAGAAAACUAAUGAUUGGAGGUCUAAGAGAUUUUAUUGUGUAAAAUUUAAAAGUUGAAGGAGUUUUAUAUUAAAUUUUUAAAUUAACGGACUGUGGCGAUACAAUCUCAUAAGUUCAUGGUUAGUUGUUGAAAUUUAUC
Molecule: unclassified non-coding RNA, 206 nt
Filed under: Hevea brasiliensis (rubber tree)
Lineage: Eukaryota; Viridiplantae; Streptophyta; Magnoliopsida; Malpighiales; Euphorbiaceae
Source: RNAcentral